GAUGAACGCUGGCGGCGUGCCUAAUACAUGCAAGUCGAGCGAACGGACGAGAAGCUUGCUUUUCUGAUGUUAGCGGCGGACGGGUGAGUAACACGUGGAUAACCUACCUCUAAGACUGGGAUAACUUCGGGAAACCGGAGCUAAUACCGGCUAAUAUUUUGAACCGCAUGGUUCAAAAGUGAAAGACGGUCUUGCUGUCACUUAUAGAUGGAUCCGCGGUGCAUUAGCUAGUUGGUAAGGUAACGGCAUACCAAGGCAACGAUGCAUAGCCGACCUGAGAGGGUGAUGCGCCGCAGUGGGACGGAGACACGGUUCAGACUCCUACGGGGGGUGACGGUAGGGAAGCGUCCGAAAUGGGGGAAAGCAUGACGGAACAACGCCGCGUGAGUGAUAAAGGUCUUCUGAUCGUUAAACUCUGUUAUUAGGGAAGAACAUUUGUGUAAGUAACUGUGCACAUCUUUACGGUACCUAAUCAAUAAGCAACGGCUAACUUCGUG
Molecule: ribosomal RNA, 497 nt
Filed under: uncultured bacterium
Lineage: Bacteria
Description: partial 16S ribosomal RNA
Rfam family: Bacterial small subunit ribosomal RNA
Source: RNAcentral